RNAcentral lists this ribosomal RNA (274 nucleotides) under uncultured bacterium. Its description in RNAcentral is "partial small subunit ribosomal RNA". It matches the Rfam family "Bacterial small subunit ribosomal RNA", at positions 26 to 287 of the family's 1533-position model. The record is from RNAcentral.
AGGACGAACGCUGGCGGCGUGCUUAACACAUGCAAGUCGAGGGCACUUUGGGGGCAACUCUGGAGUGACCGGCGAACGGGUGCGUAACACGUGAGCGACCUUGCCUCGUGGUGGGGGAUAGCCGGCCCAACGGCCGGGUAAUACCGCAUAGGGUAGUUCUUUCGCAUGGGAGAACUAGCAAAGCCGUGCAGCAAUGCACUGGCGCCACAGGGGGGGCUCGCGGCCUAUCAGCUAGUUGGGGGGGUAAUGGCCCACCAAGGCGACGACGGGUAGC